UCUUCGGAGUGAGCGGCAACGGGUGAGUAACGCGUGGGAAUCUACCCAUCUCUACGGAAUAACUCAGGGAAACUUGUGCUAAUACCGUAUACGCCCUUCGGGGGAAAGAUUUAUCGGAGAUGGAUGAGCCCGCGUUGGAUUAGCUAGUUGGUGGGGUAAAGGCCUACCAAGGCGACGAUCCAUANCUGGUCUGAGAGGAUGAUCANCCACACUGGGACUGAGACACGGCCCANACUCCUACGGGAGGCAGCAGUGGGGAAUAUUGGACAAUGGGCGAAAGCCUGAUCCAGCCAUGCCGCGUGAGUGAUGAAGGCCCUAGGGUUGUAAAGCUCUUUCAACGGUGAAGAUAAUGACGGUAACCGUAGAAUAAGCCCCGGCUAACUUCGUGCCAGCAGCCGCGGUAAUACGAAGGGGGCUAGCGUUGUUCGGAAUUACUGGGCGUAAAGCGCACGUAGGCGGAUCGUUAAGUGAGGGGUGAAAUCCCAGGGCUCAACCCUGGAACUGCCUUUCAUACUGGCGAUCUUGAGUUCAAGAGAGGUGAGUGGAAUUCCGAGUGUAGAGGUGAAAUUCNUAUAUAUUCNGAGGAACACCAGUGNNNNNNNCGGCUCACUGGCUCGAUACUGACGCUGAGGUGCGAAAGCGUGGGGGAGCAAACAGGAUUANAUACCCUGGUAGUCCACNCCGUAAACNAUNAAUGU
RNAcentral lists this ribosomal RNA (698 nucleotides) under alpha proteobacterium SY155. RNAcentral's name for it is "partial 16S ribosomal RNA". It matches the Rfam family "Bacterial small subunit ribosomal RNA", at positions 83 to 816 of the family's 1533-position model. The record is from RNAcentral. Lineage: Bacteria; Pseudomonadati; Pseudomonadota; Alphaproteobacteria.